GUAAAUAUUUUAAAUUUUUUAAAGUUAAUCAUUAUAAACUCCAAUUGGUAUGUUGUUCUAUUAAAUAUCAAGUAGUCUUGUUUGUCACCAUAAAUUUAAAUUUUUGACUACUAUUUUUUGUUCUAUUGGUAGAGUCUUAUCCACAUAAUGCGAAGUUAUCUAAUGUUCUCAGUAUUUGAUGACAAUCAUAUGAAGCUAUAAGAUUAUUUUUUACUUAACCAUUGUCGCAAAGAAGUACUUGAGUCUGUUUGAUGAAGAGGGAAAACGCUUG
This 271-nucleotide unclassified non-coding RNA is filed under the name Aliivibrio wodanis. RNAcentral describes it as "putative sRNA". Lineage: Bacteria; Pseudomonadati; Pseudomonadota; Gammaproteobacteria; Vibrionales; Vibrionaceae. The record is from RNAcentral.